Molecule: ribosomal RNA, 497 nt
Filed under: uncultured bacterium
Lineage: Bacteria
Description: partial 16S ribosomal RNA
Rfam family: Bacterial small subunit ribosomal RNA
Source: RNAcentral
GAUGAACGCUGGCGGCGUGCCUAAUACAUGCAAGUCGAGCGAACAGACGAGGAGCUUGCUCCUCUGACGUUAGCGGCGGACGGGUGAGUAACACGUGGAUAACCUACCUAUAAGACUGGGAUAACUUCGGGAAACCGGAGCUAAUACCGGAGAAUAUAUUGAACCGCAUGGUUCAAUAGUGAAAGACGGUUUUGCGGUCACUUAUAGAUGGAUCCCCGCCGCAUUAGCUAGUUGUUAAGGUAACGGCUUACCAAGGCAACGAUGCGUAGCCGACCUGAGAGGGUGAUCGGCCACACUGGAACUGAGACACGGUCCAGACUCCUACGGGAGGCAGCAGUAGGGAAUCUUCCGCAAUGGGCGAAAGCUUGACGGAGCAACGCCGCGUGAGUGAUGAAGGUCUUCGGAUCGUAAAACUCUGUUAUUAGGGAAGAACAAAUGUGUAAGUAACUAUGCACGUCUUGACGGUACCUAAUCAGAAAGCCACGGCUAACUACGUG